RNAcentral lists this ribosomal RNA (281 nucleotides) under Streptococcus pneumoniae SP6-BS73. RNAcentral's name for it is "partial 16S ribosomal RNA". It matches the Rfam family "Bacterial small subunit ribosomal RNA", at positions 1260 to 1533 of the family's 1533-position model. Lineage: Bacteria; Bacillati; Bacillota; Bacilli; Lactobacillales; Streptococcaceae. The record is from RNAcentral.
ACGGCAAGCUAAUCUCUUAAAGCCAGUCUCAGUUCGGAUUGUAGGCUGCAACUCGCCUACAUGAAGUCGGAAUCGCUAGUAAUCGCGGAUCAGCACGCCGCGGUGAAUACGUUCCCGGGCCUUGUACACACCGCCCGUCACACCACGAGAGUUUGUAACACCCGAAGUCGGUGAGGUAACCGUAAGGAGCCAGCCGCCUAAGGUGGGAUAGAUGAUUGGGGUGAAGUCGUAACAAGGUAGCCGUAUCGGAAGGUGCGGCUGGAUCACCUCCUUUCUAAGGA